UACGUAGGGGGCGAGCGUUGUCCGGAAUUAUUGGGCGUAAAGGGUUCGCAGGCGGUCCUUUAAGUCAGAUGUGAAAGACAUAGGCUCAACCUAUGUAAGCAUUUGAAACUGAAGGACUUGAGUUAAGGAGAGGAAAGUGGAAUUCCUAGUGUAGCGGUGAAAUGCGUAGAUAUUAGGAGGAAUACCAGUGGCGAAGGCGACUUUCUGGACUUAUACUGACGCUGAGGAACGAAAGCGUGGGGAGCAAACAGG
RNAcentral lists this ribosomal RNA (252 nucleotides) under uncultured bacterium. RNAcentral's name for it is "partial 16S ribosomal RNA". It matches the Rfam family "Bacterial small subunit ribosomal RNA", at positions 524 to 776 of the family's 1533-position model. The record is from RNAcentral.